AAAAUUGGAAUUAGCAUAAACGUUAAUAGUUAAAAAAUGAUGUAAUUGAAAAUCUAGACAUUUCUUCAUCUUUCUCAGCCAAAAAUGCCGUAGCAGGUCUCCUAUGCUGGUUUUUCAUAUUUUUGCACCAUUUUUGACAAGCCAGCUCAGAAAUCGGGAACGGUCGGAGGCCCACUCACACUAUCCGUAUACCAUCUUGGCAUAAUGGCUUGUAUGUUUUGAGUAUGGCAUGUAUAGCAUUAUAAUCAUUUUGUAUAUAUGGUCUUAUGAUAUGGAUAUUGAGUGGUAUGGAAAUGCUUGGUAAUGAUUAGCCAUUGGAAUGGCUAAUCAUGAUCAUAUUUGGUGUUAUGUAUACUAAAUUGCUAGCUAAUCCAUGGAAACCAUGAAAUAGGCAAAAUUUACCAUAAAAUAGAUUCAGACAGCAGCAGUGACGUGAGUUUGAAAAAUCAUUAAAAAUAGUAGAGAUAUAAUUAGUUGAUGAAUAAAAUAUGUAAUUGAAUAA
Gossypium arboreum is the source of this 502-nucleotide long non-coding RNA. RefSeq lists it as uncharacterized. The transcript has 2 exons. NCBI's taxonomy places the organism in Eukaryota, Viridiplantae, Streptophyta, Magnoliopsida, Malvales, Malvaceae. The record is from RefSeq and is a predicted model, not a curated record.